Non-coding RNA from Poecilia reticulata (guppy), 5550 nucleotides. NCBI's taxonomy places the organism in Eukaryota, Metazoa, Chordata, Actinopteri, Cyprinodontiformes, Poeciliidae. The record is from RefSeq and is a predicted model, not a curated record.
CAUGCUGUCUGUGAAGCUGCAGAGAAAGGUUCCCAAACAUCAACACAGACACAGUUUACAUGUAGGCAGCUCCCCAACAUGGAGCUGGAAGAGAGAUGAAUAAAAAGCUCUGUCAGUCUGAGGGGUUUUAAAUGAUUGGCACACCAAGACUGUAGGACAAUGAGGCUCACACACACACACAUGCACACAUCCACCCCCACACACACACACACACACCAUCAGAUGUUGAGAUGUGAGGAACACAGCUGUCCACCUGCUCAGGGAGCUGCACUGCCCGACUCUGUGGAAAACACAAACUGUUUCCAUUUUAAAAGCAGAGUCGGCUGUAGAACAAUAGGUAGCCUCUGUGUUCCCACGGGAUGGAGGAAAAGAGACCUUCACAACCAGAGAGCAGAGGUGUAACCCAGUCAGGACUCACACAGAGGACAGCUGAGCUCCCAAUGUGAACAACGGCAACAUAAUGAUGCAGUAAGUCCUGCACAAACAUGUCAUUUGGCCUCCAGAUACCCAAAAAAGGCUGCUUUAGUCCACAUGUAAACACUUACAAACGUGAGUAAUGUUUCCCUGUGGUUACUGCUUCUUUUUUCCACCCUAAUGUGAGCGUUUUAUUUGCCACCAGCAAGAGCUGAUCAUUCCUAAGAAUGUUUCAGAGAAAGCUGUAAUAAAAGCUCCUGGUAGGAGAUGGCACCAGCUCUGUUUGUUCUCCACCUGGCCGCCAUGCACAACUAUCAGUGCUGCACAGAAUGACGAUCGCGCUGUGCAUCCUUGCAGCUGUUUCCACCGGCUGUCAACCUCAUCAGCUCGGUGUUGCCCACAGUUAAGUCACGAGGCUAAGUGGUUUUUUUUAUUUUAAGUAGGGUUUUUUUUAAAUACACCAGUAACAGUGACAGUGAAAACAGGUUAAGCUAUAGGUUUAUAGUUGACUCAUAACAAAACUGGACAUGCUAGUUGCUAGUUGGUGCUAGUUGCUAACGACAGCAGCAGAUGGUAAAGAUAGGAGCAAAACCAGUCUCCACCACACCUCUGAACAGGUGGAGCAUCACUCCGUCUUUAUUAAACUCCAUCUUUUUCCUCUCUUCUCUCCCUCCUCUCGCCUCAGUGUUCAGUCAGCCAGUAUUUUGGAUUUUCCACCUCCAUUCCAGAAACCAGCAGACAUCUCAGCUUUUCCCCUUUGGUGCUCCAUAAAGUGUGCUGCCAGAGCGGCCCAGAGGCAGCAGCAGAGCUGACUGAGUGUUCAGCAGCAAAGGAGGAAAGAAGCAGAAACUGGGCCAGUGAUUUAUUGCUGAUUUAUUGAGUCGUUGAAGCUGCUUUUGUUUGGAAAAAUCAGACUUUCAGAUGUUUUAGGCAAGAAGCUUUGGAAAUAGACUCUUUGUAAGCAGAGAAUCACAGAAUCUGUCUCCAGAUUCUGUGAUUCUGGGCAACCAAAGAAACCAGUUGGUGUCUGUGAGUUUAUGGUAGCUUAGUGAACCUUCUCCACCAAUCAGAACAGAUCAUCUGAGCAAUGGCUGCCUCACACACACUGAAUUACUGAAAGCUGGAGAUAGAAAACAAGCUUUCAGUUUUUGGUUCAUCCAGGUUGGAUAAACCUGGAUGAAAGUCCAGGUUCAUCCAACCUGGACUUUUUCGUCCAAGUUGGAUGAACAGAUCCCAUCAAACUGUGAAACUGGUUUGUACUUUUAGUGCAGAGGAUGGAGACCGAGGGAACGUCAGUGAAAUAGAGACUCCCAGAUAAAGCAGGACAACAGCAGAGGAAAAGGCGGCACAGCAGGGAAUUGUGGACAGACAGGAAUGUGAGGAUAUUGUUGGAAGUCUCUGACAAACUACAACCUGAACUAAAAGUGAGUGGUUUGUAACUCUGGGUUAUCGCGUCCUCAUCUCCCUCUCACACAUUCCUUCUCUUCUUCUAAGGAGAGAACUGUGGUGAGUGAGGUCAGGCUCCUCUCUGUGGAAGAAUCCAAAAAUGAACCAGAAAACUAGAGGAGCAUUUCCUAAUCAGGCCGUAUCAACCCGGAGYGUCUCAGACCUUGUCCUGUCAUCAUGGCUCAGACUGCAUGGGAAGCAGACAGAAGAGCAGCGAGGAGAUGGAGAGUCUGAGGCUGGUGGAGCCUGCAGAGAUGAGAUCAGUGGAUCAGGAUGUUUGGAAACUCUGGAGGCUUUUAAAGCAGAAAGAGAGGUGACCAGGAUAAAGCUGUGAAAUCAGAGCAGUUUAAUGUUUUGGCUUUCACAAUGUUGGACUUUUAUAUUCGUAAGAAAAGAUGCAGUGAAGAUGAAAAUGUUACUCAGGAGGAGGGACCGAUUGACAUGCAGGAUGUUCAGAGUGAGGUUGUAGAAGACGGGGUUUCCCUGUGAGGGAUUUGUUCUGAACAAAGGAUGACCUGCUGUACGUCUGACACUCUUAAUACCUUUGGACUAAAUGGAAACUUUCAGAUYAUUUUCCUCUUUUGAACAUUUUCUGCUCAUCCAGUCAUCUCUAGCUGGUAAAGAGCAAACUUCUUAAAUGUUUAGUGAACUUAAGGAGAGCGCCUGAGGCUGCACAGCUAAAAAGUCCAGAUGUUCUGCUGUCUUUUAAUGCCUCAUGAAACUCCAAGCUUGUGUUGUCAUUUUCACUGCUGGGCAGAUCUGAGCGAAGGCUGGACACAAGACAGAAGACAGGUUGAGGUCUAAAAACACCAAGAACUCUCAGUAAACAGCUGAAGUAAACACUCUGGCUGCCAUAAAGACAACUUUACUUUCAUUGUUUAAUGACUUUUCUGUUUCUCACUAAUGUUUCACAGAUGAGAUGGAGAUUGGUCCCAUUGAGGAGGGGGGAGGAGAGCCAGCAGGCGGCCAUCUUUCUCCCACUGACUCACUCGCUGCCUUUUCAUUCCCUCUCUGAUCUGUUUCGCUCCGUCUUUUUCGAUCURAUUUCUUCAGACAACUCAAUUAUGCUGGCCGGGCUCCAUUUGUUUUCCAACUAAAUAUUACACCGUGGACUUUAUGAGUCAUAAGAAACAUCUUUCAGCUCCAUCCUAUCAGUCACCUCUACGCUUGAAGCCUUCUUGCUAAAACGUGUUUUUUUCCUCCAGCAUUUUAAAUAAAGACAGAAACCAGAGCAGCACAUGUUUGCUGAGGACACGGUGUCCACUGGAAGAACAAAACACAAGUCAAAAACCACACACCACACACACACACACACACACACAUAUCCACUAAUCUGCUGAACAUACAGGUCUUCAUCAUCAACCUUUAUUUAACCAGGAUAAAAAACUCCUUGAGAUUAAAAAUCUCUUUUCCUAGAGUGUCCUGGUGUUCUGACCCAGAGGAGUCUACUGAGUUUUUCUCUCUCUGCUUUCAGAAGCCACAGACCAUGGAUCAAGUCAACAUGACAAGGGCAACGGUGGCGUCGCAGCGACGCAGAAGGAGAAGGUGAAGGCCAAAGAUGAGACGUACUGGAAGGAGAUCAACGCCGCCAUGGCCUUGACCAACUUGGCUCAGGGGAAGGACAGCGUCUCCGGGACAACCAGCUGCAUCAUCCAGAAGUCCUCCCAUAUAGCCGAGGUGAAGACUGUUAAAGUGCCAUUGUUGCAAAAGUUUUAGCUCCGAUUUGCCUAUGCAAAGCAGAAACAUUUCUCUCAGUAAACUUGAUGGAGUCCAAAAAACUCUCUGUGAACUGGUGCUUUAGGACGAAGGUGGGCUUGUGAAGAAAAAAUAUGUUUUGGUCUUUCUGAAACUGUUCAAAUGAUGGAUUCCUUUAAAAAAAAAAAAAAGAAAAGAAAAGAAAAACAAAUUUUUUGUAAUGUUAACUUAUUUUUUUGAGUCUUUUUAUUGCUACAAAUAUAUUUUCCAAAGUGCCUUUGUUUUCAGCAGUUUGCUCACUGAUUGUGCGCAAUGGAACAUAUGAUCAGAGAGAUUUGUGAAGGAAUGUUUUGGCGAGUGCAGGCUCUUAGUCGGUAUUAUUCAGGAUUUGUCCCUUGUAACAUUAUGUGCCUUAAGAACAGAGUGAGCUCAUUGGCAUUGAUGAACUCAAAUAGCAUGCAUCUGCACAGGAACUAAUCCUAUUUUGACUGGAGUUUCCAUUUGGGCUGUAAACAGAGCUCUGCUUUGUGACUGCUCAACACGUUUCGAAGCGAAGAGCUUUGUCCAUGUCGUCCACCUCUUAACCUUGAAUUCCAUCAGCCGCUGAAAACUUUUUCUCUUACUGAGCCGUGUAUCCUCCGAAACGUGCACAAGUUCUCAGCUGGACCCAAAGCCGCUAAUCGUCCACGUGGCCAGGCCGAUAAGGACGAGCAAAAAACCGCAGCGACCCAAAAGGGAUGUUUUUAUUUUACGUUAUCAGUCUGCCUUGUGAAGCGUCGUAGCUUUUCCCCUUUUUUUUCUUUUUUGUUGUUGCAAAGAACAGGAUGGUGCAGAGUAAAGAAAUUAACUCAAAAAGCCAAGCGCCGCUCCCUCUCUGCCUUUUGAUCCGCAGCCUCCCCAGAUGUUCGGCAUUACAUUUAAAUUGCUGUUUACAAGAAGCCUGAGGACAGGCUUAAAAAUGUAACUUUCUCUUCCAUGGCCUCUUUCUGUCCUGCACAGUAUUAUUUCUUUGUCAGCCAAGUGUUUAAAGCAUUUAUUAUGGCUGCCUGUGUGUAUCUUGUGUCGGUUUUGAUUAAAACUGUCUCGUCUAACUGUGUUGCAUUAAAAUCGUCUCCGUCACCCAGUGGAAAGAAUCCGUUUCUGAGAACGUGCUUAUUGCAGUUGCACCUGAUUUUAAGCUUUAAGGAUGUCUUGGAGGUGCCUGAAAAUGAAUAUUUUGUAUUUACAGUGGUCUGACUGCCGUGAUGAAGGACUUUGAAAGAGAACAAAACUGCACAAUUACUUCUUUUUUUUUUUUUUUUCAACAUUGAAUGUUUAACCAGACGUUCACGGCUACGUAGGCGUUUUUAACAAAGAAACGUCAAAGAAACGAAUCUUUUGGUUAUAUUAGUUUGUGUAUACAUGGAAGUAGUUUGUAAUUAAUCACACCAAACCUCAGGCUCUGUUUGUUUAUGCACUUGGGACGUUGGCCUCCACCUCCGGCGGGUGUUUUUCAGCCAGCUGAUCCAGGCGCUGGGAGAACUGGAUCCACGGCUCGCCUUUCAGUUUGCAGCUUUGAGCCUCUGGGCUGCUCACGCCUCUCACAACGGCCGCGUGCUGGUGACGGAGGCAGAAAAAGGUCAAGGGGAGUUCAAAGGCAGCAACAGGAACACCAGAUGUAUAAGCAAAUGGGCUUCACAGCUAUGACCCCAGUACUGUAACACUCUCCAGCACAAACUCUGCUCUUAACCACGCUGAGAGAAAUGAAAAUGUGUGUUUUGUAAUGUAUAAAUUAUUGCAUUGAAAAAGCAAUGAAAGUGAUGACCGUGAAUUGUAUUUUAUUGUUAAUUUAUAUGAAUGGAUUUUUAAAAAAAUAUAUAUUUUGCUAAAGACUGGAUUUUCCAUCCAAUGAUCAGAUUUAUAUCUUCUUGUACCGUUUCAUCUGCCUUCCUGUAAAAUGUGUUUGAUAAAACUGUUGUUACUUGGUGAUGAUAAAUAAACAUCUGAGCAACAUGA